Gymnodraco acuticeps is the source of this 327-nucleotide long non-coding RNA. RefSeq lists it as uncharacterized. NCBI's taxonomy places the organism in Eukaryota, Metazoa, Chordata, Actinopteri, Perciformes, Bathydraconidae. The transcript is spliced from 2 exons. The record is from RefSeq and is a predicted model, not a curated record.
CUACGGCUGCUCUAAUCAUCGCAGUCUGCAAACAAGAACCUGUGGGAUCACCUUUCACAUGUUUAAGGCAGUGGGAACUCGCCCUAAGAAGAGACGGUUUUGUUUCCUGUGACAGGACACUGCUCUGCAGUGAGCACUUCAGGAGUGAGGAAUUUGACCGGACAGGGCAGACUAAUGGCGAAUCGCUACCACUAGGAGCAUAUAUCGCCACCUACUAUGUAUUUAUUAAAUCUUCAUGUUCCAUGAGACGCAGCACUAUGUUCCCCACAUAUGUUUAUGUUUGCUCAGUCUAAUAAACCCAUAACAUGGUUGUGAAAGAAUACCAAA